CGUAGGUGCAAGCGUUGUCCGGAAUUAUUGGGCGUAAAGAGCUCGUAGGCGGUCUGUCGCGUCGAAUGUGAAAAUCCGAGGCUCAACCUCGGACCUGCAUUCGAUACGGGCAGACUAGAGUUCGGUAGGGGAGUCUGGAAUUCCUGGUGUAGCGGUGAAAUGCGCAGAUAUCAGGAGGAACACCGGUGGCGAAGGCGGGACUCUGGGCCGAUACUGACGCUGAGGAGCGAAAGCGUGGGGGAGCAAACAGGAUU
RNAcentral lists this ribosomal RNA (254 nucleotides) under uncultured bacterium. RNAcentral describes it as "partial 16S ribosomal RNA". It matches the Rfam family "Bacterial small subunit ribosomal RNA", at positions 526 to 779 of the family's 1533-position model. The record is from RNAcentral.